GCCUAAAAUCUAGCCCAUCUCCUCCCUAUGUUAACUCCAAUUAACUUUCAACAAACAAAACAUUUUAAUAUAUUAGUAUAGGCGAUUAAAAUUUUCUUGGCGCUUUAGAAAUAGUACCGCAAGGGAAUGAUGAAAUAGCAAUGAAAUAACCUUUAAGCCCUAAAUAGCAGAGCUUCCCCCUCGUACCUUUUGCAUCAUGGUCUAGCUAGUCUUACUUAGGCAAAGUGAAAACUUUAGUCUAAUCCCCCGAAACUAAGCGAGCUACUUCAAAACACCGUAAGGGGCCAACCCAUCUCUGUUGCAAAAGAGUGGGAUGAUUUUCAAGUAGAGGCGUUUUUCCUACCGAGCUUAGAGAUAGCUGGUUAUUCAGGAAAAGAGUUUAAGCUCUACCUUAAGCCCUACCCAUUAUAUUAAACAAAAUAUUAAGCUUAAGAGCUAUUCAGAUAGGGCACAGCUUAUCUGAAUAAGGAUACAACCUCUAACAUUGGGUUAAUUCAAAACCCCAAAAAUUAAGUUGGCCUAAAAGCAGUCAUCUUAAAUAAAGCGUUAAAUCUCAACUACUUUAAACCCUAAAUCCCCUAAAUCAUCAUCAACCCUUAAUUACUACUGAAUUAUAUUAUAUUUAUAUAAAAAUGAUAAUGCUAGAACUAGUAACAAGAAUUAGCCCUUCUCCUAAAUGUAAACUUAAGCCAAAACGGAUAUUCCAUUGGCAAUUACCGCAAAUGCAUUAACUAUAGUACCCCAUACUAGAAAACCCUAUAAACCCCCAAGCGUUAACCUAACACCAGAACAUUACAGGAAAGAUUAAUAGAGGAAGAAGGAACUCGGCAAAUUUCAGUCCCGCCUGUUUACCAAAAACAUCGCCUCUUGCUUAAACAUAAGAGGUCCAGCCUGCCCAGUGAUAUAAUUCAACGGCCGCGGUAUCCUAACCGUGCGAAGGUAGCAUAAUCACUUGUUCUUUAAAUAAGGACUUGUAUCAACGGCAUCACGAGGACUGUACUGUCUCCUUUCUCUAAUCAGUGAAACUGAUCUCCCCGUGAAGAAGCGGGGAUAUAUAUAUAAGACGAGAAGACCCCAUGGAGCUUAAAACAUACACACACCUCUGAAUUACUAAAUCAGUUAAAUAAAGAAAUUUGUGAGUCAGUUUUAGGUUGGGGAGACCACGGAAUAAAACUAAACUUCCAUGACAAACGGGCCAACGCCCUUAUCCAAGAAUUACAAUUCUAAGAAUUAAUAAACUAAUGUCCAAUGAUCCGGCUAGCCGAUCAACGAACCAAGUUACCCUGGGGAUAACAGCGCAAUCUGCUUCAAGAGCCCCUAUCGACAAGCAGGUUUACGACCUCGAUGUUGGAUCAGGGUAUCCUAGUGGUGCAGCCGCUACUAACGGUUCGUUUGUUCAACGAUUAAAACCCUA
RNAcentral lists this ribosomal RNA (1414 nucleotides) under Amolops hainanensis (Hainan sucker frog). RNAcentral describes it as "partial 16S ribosomal RNA". It matches the Rfam family "Bacterial large subunit ribosomal RNA", at positions 371 to 2598 of the family's 2925-position model. The record is from RNAcentral. Lineage: Eukaryota; Metazoa; Chordata; Amphibia; Anura; Ranidae.